GACGAACGCUGGCGGCGUGCUUAACACAUGCAAGUCGAACGGAAAGGCCCUGCUUUUGUGGGGUGCUCGAGUGGCGAACGGGUGAGUAACACGUGAGUAACCUGCCCUUGACUUUGGGAUAACUUCAGGAAACUGGGGCUAAUACCGGAUAGGAGCUCCUGCUGCAUGGUGGGGGUGGGAAAGUUUCGGCGGUUGGGGAUGGACUCGCGGCUUAUCAGCUUGUUGGUGGGGUAGUGGCUUACCAAGGCUUUGACGGGUAGCCGGCCUGAGAGGGUGACCGGCCACAUUGGGACUGAGAUACGGCGCAGACUCCUACGGGAGGCAGCAGUGGGGAAUAUUGCACAAUGGGCGGAAGCCUGAUGCAGCAACGCCGCGUGCGGGAUGACGGCCUUCGGGUUGUAAACCGCUUUCGCCUGUGACGAAGCGUGAGUGACGGUAAUGGGUAAAGAAGCACCGGCUAACUACGUG
Molecule: ribosomal RNA, 468 nt
Filed under: uncultured bacterium
Lineage: Bacteria
Description: partial 16S ribosomal RNA
Rfam family: Bacterial small subunit ribosomal RNA
Source: RNAcentral